GAUGAACGCUGGCGGCGUGCCUAAUACACGCAAGUCGAGCGAAUGGAUUAAGAGCUUGCUCUUAUGAAGUUAGCGGCGGACGGGUGAGUAACACGUGGGUAACCUGCCCAUAAGACUGGGAUAACUCCGGGAAACCGGGGCUAAUACCGGAUAACAUUUUGAACCGCAUGGUUCGAAAUUGAAAGGCGGCUUCGGCUGUCACUUAUGGAUGGACCCGCGUCGCAUUAGCUAGUUGGUGAGGUAACGGCUCACCAAGGCAACGAUGCGUAGCCGACCUGAGAGGGUGAUCGGCCACACUGGGACUGAGACACGGCCCAGACUCCUAUGGGAGGCAGCGGUAGGGAAUCUUCCGCAAUGGACGAAAGUCUGACGGAGCAACGCCGCGUGAGUGAUGAAGGCUUUCGGGUCGUAAAACUCUGUUGUUAGGGAAGAACAAGUGCUAGUUGAAUAAGCUGACACCUUGACGGUACCUAACCAGAAAGCCACGGCUAACUACGUGCCAGCAGCCGCUGUAA
Molecule: ribosomal RNA, 515 nt
Filed under: uncultured bacterium
Lineage: Bacteria
Description: partial 16S ribosomal RNA
Rfam family: Bacterial small subunit ribosomal RNA
Source: RNAcentral